AAUCAUCUUCACCAGUUGUGAAUAAUCCCAAAAUAUUACCACAUGAGUACCACCACUUGAUUGCGUUCCACCUUUGGUAUAAUCACGUAGGUUUGGACAUUACUAAUCAUUUUACGGAUAAUAUUUCUUCUCUUUUUCUUAUACCUUAAAUAUACCUACUUGAGCAUCAUCUUCAAUUUUAAAAUCACGUAAGUUUUGUACAUUACAAAUCAUUUUGUUUUGCGGAUGCUAUUUAGUAUUUAUACUCUAGCUUGUUUAUAUUAAAAAGAAUAAUUCUUGGGUUCAUCCAUUAGGUUCAUCGUUGACAUAAUAACUAAUGAAAAUUUAUCAAUCUUUUUUUAAAGUAAAAACAAAUAAAAAAAAAAGAAUUUUACCUGGAUUUAUUCCAUAAGGUGAACUUGUAGAUUCACCAAAUAAUAGUAUUUUGUUAUUUUAUAUUCAUUAUCUCGAAAAAAACAAAAUAAUAAUAAUUUGCUAAGUCAUAUUAUAUUUUUAAAAUAAAAAGAUAAAAUAAAUAAAAAAUAAUAGUACUUGUCAAAAAAAAGAAUUAUUUUUUAACAUUGUUAGCACCGUCAAUAAAACACUAAACUUUUAGGUAAACGCUAAAUCUUUGGAUAAAUCCUAAACCCUAAAUCAUAAACACUAAACAUUAAAUCUUAAAUCCUAAAUACUAAACCCUAAAUUCUUCGAUAAAUCUUAAGCCGUUGGAUAAAUCCUAAACCCUAAAUCACUUAACCUUAAAUCCUAAACACUAAACCCUAAACCCUUGGGUAAACCCUAAACCUUUGGAUAAAUCAUAACCCUAAAUCAUAUACACUAAACACUAGGAUUUAUUAUUUAUCCAAAUGUUUAGAGUUUAAGGUUAAGGGUUAAGUGUUUGGUGUUUAGGGUUUAGUGUUUUGUUGACGGCGUUAAAAAUAUUUCAAUUUUUUUUUGACAAUGACUACUAUUUUUAUUUUAUUUUAUCUUUUUU
RNAcentral lists this long non-coding RNA (973 nucleotides) under Brassica rapa (field mustard). RNAcentral's name for it is "long non-coding RNA (BRAP_LNC005059)". Lineage: Eukaryota; Viridiplantae; Streptophyta; Magnoliopsida; Brassicales; Brassicaceae. The record is from RNAcentral.